This 402-nucleotide ribosomal RNA is filed under the name uncultured bacterium. RNAcentral describes it as "bacterial SSU rRNA". It matches the Rfam family "Bacterial small subunit ribosomal RNA", at positions 28 to 422 of the family's 1533-position model. The record is from RNAcentral.
GAUGAACGCUGGCGGCGUGCCUAACACACGCAAGUCGAACGGACUUUUGAUGAAACCUAGUGAUUUAAAAGUUAGUGGCGGACGGGUGAGUAACGCGUGGGUAACCUGCCUCACACUGGGGGAUAACAGUUAGAAAUGACUGCUAAUACCGCAUAAGCGCACAGUACCGCAUGGUACCGUGUGAAAAACUCCGGUGGUGUGAGAUGGACCCGCGUCUGAUUAGCUAGUUGGCGGGGUAACGGCCCACCAAGGCGACGAUCAGUAGCCGGCCUGAGAGGGUGAACGGCCACAUUGGGACUGAGACACGGGCCCAAACUCCUACGGGAGGCAGCAGUGGGGAAUAUUGGGCAAUGGGGGGGAACCCUGACCCAGCAACGCGCGUGGAGGAAGAAGGUUUUCGGA